RNAcentral lists this ribosomal RNA (478 nucleotides) under uncultured bacterium. RNAcentral describes it as "bacterial SSU rRNA". It matches the Rfam family "Bacterial small subunit ribosomal RNA", at positions 28 to 521 of the family's 1533-position model. The record is from RNAcentral.
GAUGAACGCUGGCGGCGUGCCUAACACAUGCAAGUCGAACGGAGCACUCUUACUUCGGUUUUUGUGCUUAGUGGCGGACGGGUGAGUAACGCGUGAGCAAUCUGCCUUUCAGAGGGGGAUAACGAUUGGAACGAUCGCUAAUACCGCAUAACGUAUUUUAGGGCAUCCUUUAAAUACCAAAGGAGCAAUCCGCUGAAAGAUGAGCUCGCGUCUGAUUAGAUAGUUGGUGAGGUAACGGCCCACCAAGUCGACGAUCAGUAGCCGGACUGAGAGGUUGAACGGCCACAUUGGGACUGAGACACGGCCCAGACUCCUACGGGAGGCAGCAGUGGGGAAUAUUGCGCAAUGGGGGCAACCCUGACGCAGCAACGCCGCGUGAUUGAAGAAGGUCUUCGGAUUGUAAAAUCUUUAUCAGGGACGAAGAAGUGACGGUACCUGAUGAAUAAGCUCCGGCUAACUACGUGCCAGCCGCCGCGGU